CCUACGGGAGGCUGCAGUGGGGAAUAUUGCACAAUGGGCGCAAGCCUGAUGCAGCCAUGCCGCGUGUGUGAAGAAGGCCUUCGGGUUGUAAAGCACUUUCAGCGGGGAGGAAGGCGUUAAGGUUAAUAACCUUGGCGAUUGACGUUACCCGCAGAAGAAGCACCGGCUAACUCCGUGCCAGCAGCCGCGGUAAUACGGAGGGUGCAAGCGUUAAUCGGAAUUACUGGGCGUAAAGCGCACGCAGGCGGUCUGUCAGGUCGGAUGGGAAAUCCCCGGGCUCAACCUGGGAACUGCAUUCGAAACUGGCAGGCUAGAGUCUUGUGGAGGGGGGUAGAAUUCCAGGUGUAGCGGUGAAAUGCGUAGAGAUCUGGAGGAAUACCGGUGGCGAAGGCGGCCCCCUGGACAAAGACUGACGCUCAGGUGCGAAAGCGUGGGGAGCAAACAGGAUUAGAUACCCUAGUAAUC
Molecule: ribosomal RNA, 465 nt
Filed under: uncultured Klebsiella sp.
Lineage: Bacteria; Pseudomonadati; Pseudomonadota; Gammaproteobacteria; Enterobacterales; Enterobacteriaceae
Description: bacterial SSU rRNA
Rfam family: Bacterial small subunit ribosomal RNA
Source: RNAcentral